GCAGCGACCGGCCGGGCGGCGGCGAGUGGCGCUACCUGUUGACGCUGCGCGGUGCCGCCUCGCCCGCCGUGGCGCCGGCGUGGAGCGCGGGGAGAGGGCCCUGCGGCCGGCCUGCGUCCCGGGCGGGUGGGCGCUCCCCGUGUCCCCCGGCGCGGUGCCUCAGACCUGCGUCCCUCCACCAAGCCGCUAAAAUUACGGGUUGGCCGCGGAAUCUAAAAAUAGCGGCGGCGGAGACUUGUCAGCUAGUUGUUGGGAUGCUGACGUCGGGGCUCCGGGAGCAGGUGCCCUGCUGGAAGGAGACCCGGUGUCCGGCUGGGAGGGACCCCCGUCCGGCGCUCCCUCGUUCUCCGGGGCGUGGACCCCAAGCCGAUGCUCCCUCGGCCCCCGGGACGCGGACCACCGGCCGGGCCCCUUCGUUCCCGAGACGCGGACCCCCGACAUGUGUCCUCUCCCUUCCCGGGAUGCGGACCCCGGCCAGUGACCCCUCCGCCCCUGGGACGCGGACCCGCGUCAGCUGCGGGAGGUGGACGUGCCCAAUCCGGGGCGGAAUCGCCCGCUGGCUUCUCGAGUGCGAGCUGACCCGGGCGGAGCGCCGGGCAACUUGGUGGCUGGUGUCCGGAAGGUGACCGCGGCCCCCACACCUGGCAGAGUCGUGACGUCUGUUCUUAAAACCGUGAUUUCACGCCUGCCUCCUUAAAAAGCAAAUCAGACAGUAAACAGGAUGGAUUGGACACAGGCUGAAGUUGCCUAUGAAGAGUCAAUUCGGGCUUUUGCGGUUUGGUGGCUUUGGAUUGGUAACUAGUUCUUAUUUCCUGAUUCGGCCCUGGAGGCACGGUGAUUGAGAUUUUAGAUUCCUGCGCCUGUUGAAAGGUUUUUACAUUUUAUUCCGGGACAGAUAGAGCUGAAACAAUUUCUGUACUUGAGGAAGAAGUGGGAAUGUGUUGUUAUGUAAGCCAAAUUCAGAAAUCAAAAAAUUCUACAAAAAUCUUUUUAUCGUAUAUCAGCGCCCCCAGAAAUUAUUAAAACAUACAAGGCAUCCUGUAGAAACCUAGAGCUUCUCAGUCCCCUCGGUUAAACUUAAAUCACUGUCUCCUGCUAAAGUGCUAAAUGUGAAAAACAUAGGAAUUUGUUCUUAAACUUGUUUCCUGCUUCUAAUACGUGCCAAGACCUGUUUUUUUUGUUUGUUUGUUUGUUUUUUUAUGUCGUUCCGGGAAAUAAACAUUAAAUCACCUGAAGCGUGCAGUUGGGGGGGACUAUGCGCAGUUGAUUUUUUUUUUAGCUUAAAAAUUUUAAGAAAAACAUUAUAAAGGGGAUAUGCCAUUUCAUUGCUUAUCCUCUGCUUCGAAAAUGUAGACCCUUGAACAGCUUGCCCGUCUUGUCAACCUUUUUUUUUUUUUUUAAAGGGAAGCCAUAAUAGACUUAAAUGGUAAAAUUAAACAGUCCAAAGAAAACAGUAGUUUCUCUCUCAAGUCUGAUUCUUGGUAUUCCCCCCCCCCCCCCGCCCGCCAGAGGCAAAUAGCUUUUCUAACCUAUUGUGUGUUCUUCUGGAAAUCUGUGUGCACACAUACUCUGCAUAGAAGACCCCAUGUUUAUGUAAGGAAAAGCUCCCUGCACUGGUACAUACUUUGCCUUUUCUACUUAAGAGUUUUGUGGGUGUUUAUCACACAUAUCUUUGUCUCAUUUGUUGAAAUGGCUGCAUAAUAUUUUCCUUUUUUUAUGUAAAAUAAUUUUUAAUGUUUAUUUUUUUUAUUUUUUAUUUUUUUUUAACGUUUUAUUUUUGAGAGACAGUGUGUGUGUGGAGGAGGGGCAGAGAGAGAGGGAGACACAGAAUCCAAAGCAGGCUCCAGGCUCUGAGCUGUCAGCACAGUGUCCAACGCAGGGCUUGAACCCACAAACCCCGAGAUCAUGACCUGAGCGGAAGUCAGACGCUUAACUGACUAAGCCACCCAGGCGCCCGUUGAGUAUUUUUUUUUUUUAAUGUUUAUUUAUUUAUUUUGAGAGAGAGAGAAUCCCAGGCAGGCUCCGUGCUCAGCACAGGUUCAUGGGGCUCGAACCCAUGAACCAUGAGCCAAAAUCAAAAGUUGGAUGUCCAACCGAACCACCCAGGCAUCCAGCAGGUUUGGUUUACUUUUCAUUCAUUGAUUGACCUUACCAACAAAAAAUGAUUUUAUUCAGGAAUAAAAGAGAAUUGCAAUGUGGGAAAAACAAGCUGUGAGCAAAACUGUAGGCAAGUCCUGGCAGGAUUACUUUUUUGGUUUUCUUGUUUUAAACCUCAACCAGCCAAGUAUUUAUCUAUCUAUCUAUCUAUCAAUCAAUAUGAGAGAAUACUAACACACACACACACACACACACACACACACACACACACACACACGAGAGGUGGUGGGGUGGGGGAAGGGCAGAGAGAAUCCCAAGCGGGCUCUGCACGGUCAGUGCAGAGCCCAGCAUGAGGCUCAGUCUCACAAACUGAGAUCAUGACCUGAGCCAAAAAUCAAGAGCAGGACGUUUAAUUGACUGAGUCACCCAGGUGCUCCUAUUUAAUUAGUUAUUUAAAACAGAGUGAGUACAGUUGAGGGAGGGGGAGAGAGAGAGAUAGAGACCCAAGUAAGCUUCAUGCUCAGAGCAGAGCCCCCCACUUGGGGCUUGAUCCCACGACCCUGGGAGCUGAAAUCAAGAGUUGGCCCCUUCCCCCUGCCCAUCCCUUGCUUACGUACUCCCUCUCAAAAAUAAACAUAUUUUUAAAAAUUAAGAGAAAAAAAAGUUGCUCCCUUAACUGACUGACCCACUCAGGUGCCUGAGGGGUUUUUUUUUUUUUUUU
Molecule: long non-coding RNA, 2818 nt
Organism: Neofelis nebulosa (Clouded leopard)
Lineage: Eukaryota; Metazoa; Chordata; Mammalia; Carnivora; Felidae
Exons: 3
Source: RefSeq, a predicted model, not a curated record